GUGACCUCAAAUCAGGUAGGACUACCCGCUGAACUUAAGCAUAUCAAUAAGCGGAGGAAAAGAAACUAACAAGGAUUCCCCUAGUAACUGCGAGUGAAGCGGGAAAAGCUCAAAUUUAAAAUCUGGCAGUCUUACUGUCCGAGUUGUAAUCUAGAGAAGCAUUAUCCGCGUUGGACCGUGUACAAGUCUCCUGGAAUGGAGCGUCAUAGAGGGUGAGAAUCCCGUCUUUGACACGGACUGCCAAGGCUUUUGUGAUGUGCUCUCAAAGAGUCGAGUUGUUUGGGAAUGCAGCUCAAAAUGGGUGGUAAAUUCCAUCUAAAGCUAAAUAUUGGCGAGAGACCGAUAGCGAACAAGUACCGUGAGGGAAAGAUGAAAAGAACUUUGGAAAGAGAGUUAAACAGUACGUGAAAUUGCUGAAAGGGAAACGCUUGAAGUCAGUCGCGUUGAUCAGAGAUCAACCUUGCUUUUGCUUGGUGUACUUUCUGGUUUGACGGGUCAGCAUCAAUUUUGAUCAUUGGAAAAAGGUCAAGGGAAUGUGGCAUCUUCGGAUGUGUUUAUAGCCCUUGGUUGUAUGCAAUGGUUGGGAUUGAGGAACUCAGCACGCCGCAAGGCCGGGUUUAACCACGUACGUGCUAGAUGCUGC
RNAcentral lists this ribosomal RNA (643 nucleotides) under Thaxterogaster causticus. RNAcentral's name for it is "eukaryotic LSU rRNA". It matches the Rfam family "Eukaryotic large subunit ribosomal RNA", at positions 1 to 629 of the family's 3401-position model. The record is from RNAcentral. Lineage: Eukaryota; Fungi; Basidiomycota; Agaricomycetes; Agaricales; Cortinariaceae.